RNAcentral lists this ribosomal RNA (274 nucleotides) under uncultured bacterium. RNAcentral's name for it is "partial 16S ribosomal RNA". It matches the Rfam family "Bacterial small subunit ribosomal RNA", at positions 523 to 796 of the family's 1533-position model. The record is from RNAcentral.
AUACGAAGGGGGCUAGCGUUGCUCGGAAUUACUGGGCGUAAAGGGAGCGUAGGCGGACAUUUAAGUCAGGGGUGAAAUCCCGGGGCUCAACCUCGGAAUUGCCUUUGGUACUGGGUGUCUUGAGUGUGAGAGAGGUAUGUGGAACUCCGAGUGUAGAGGUGAAAUUCGUAGAUAUUCGGAAGAACACCAGUGGCGAAGGCGACAUACUGGCUCAUUACUGACGCUGAGGCUCGAAAGCGUGGGGAGCAAACAGGAUUAGAAACCCUAGUAGUCC